GAUAUUUUUCUAAUCUUUUUUUACUCAUUUUUUGGUGAGAGCGAGAGUUUUGAAUUCUAGGCUCAGGACGAACGCUGGCGGCGUGCCUAAUACAUGCAAGUCGAACGCUUCUUUCCUCCCGAGUGCUUGCACUCAAUUGGAAAGAGGAGUGGCGGACGGGUGAGUAACACGUGGGUAACCUACCCAUCAGAGGGGGAUAACACUUGGAAACAGGUGCUAAUACCGCAUAACAGUUUAUGCCGCAUGGCAUAAGAGUGAAAGGCGCUUUCGGGUGUCGCUGAUGGAUGGACCCGCGGUGCAUUAGCUAGUUGGUGAGGUAACGGCUCACCAAGGCCACGAUGCAUAGCCGACCUGAGAGGGUGAUCGGCCACACUGGGACUGAGACACGGCCCAGACUCCUACGGGAGGCAGCAGUAGGGAAUCUUCGGCAAUGGACGAAAGUCUGACCGAGCAACGCCGCGUGAGUGAAGAAGGUUUUCGGAUCGUAAAACUCUGUUGUUAGAGAAGAACAAGGACGUUAGUAACUGAACGUCCCCUGACGGUAUCUAACCAGAAAGCCACGGCUAACUACGUGCCAGCAGCCGCGGUAAUACGUAGGUGGCAAGCGUUGUCCGGAUUUAUUGGGCGUAAAGCGAGCGCAGGCGGUUUCUUAAGUCUGAUGUGAAAGCCCCCGGCUCAACCGGGGAGGGUCAUUGGAAACUGGGAGACUUGAGUGCAGAAGAGGAGAGUGGAAUUCCAUGUGUAGCGGUGAAAUGGGUAGAUAUAUGGAGGAACACCAGUGGCGAAGGCGGCUCUCUGGUCUGUAACUGACGCGGAGGCUUCAAAAAAGA
This 830-nucleotide ribosomal RNA is filed under the name Enterococcus faecalis. RNAcentral's name for it is "bacterial SSU rRNA". It matches the Rfam family "Bacterial small subunit ribosomal RNA", at positions 1 to 763 of the family's 1533-position model. The record is from RNAcentral. Lineage: Bacteria; Bacillati; Bacillota; Bacilli; Lactobacillales; Enterococcaceae.